This 240-nucleotide long non-coding RNA is filed under the name Elaeis guineensis (African oil palm). RNAcentral describes it as "long non-coding RNA (EGUI_LNC062776)". The record is from RNAcentral. Lineage: Eukaryota; Viridiplantae; Streptophyta; Magnoliopsida; Arecales; Arecaceae.
GCAUUGAUCAUUCUCGGUUGGUUACAGUGGUUUGGUUGCAUCAAAAAGGUACAACUAUUCUAUUAGCAUUUGAUAUCUUGGGGUAAAGAUGGGGUUGGGCCUAAUAACUGUUAAGUGAGGAUUUCAAUGAUGGCUUUACACUCACUGGUGAAUGAUAGAUCUGACUUAACUAAGAAAUAUGUCAAUAACUAUUAGGUAAGGCCAUGGGACUUAGAGACCAAACCCCUUGCUUAGUGAAGC